RNAcentral lists this transfer RNA (73 nucleotides) under Camelus bactrianus (Bactrian camel). It matches the Rfam family "tRNA". From Rfam's summary of the family: Transfer RNA (tRNA) molecules are approximately 80 nucleotides in length. Their secondary structure includes four short double-helical elements and three loops (D, anti-codon, and T loops). The record is from Rfam by way of RNAcentral. RNAcentral also lists the same sequence under 2 other names. Lineage: Eukaryota; Metazoa; Chordata; Mammalia; Artiodactyla; Camelidae.
GUGGUUAUAGCUCAGUGGUAGAGCGUGUGCUUAGCAAUCAUGAUGGUCCUGGAUUCAAUCCCCAGUAUUUCCA